This 761-nucleotide small RNA is filed under the name Pongo abelii (Sumatran orangutan). Its description in RNAcentral is "retained intron". The record is from RNAcentral. Lineage: Eukaryota; Metazoa; Chordata; Mammalia; Primates; Hominidae.
GCACGUUAUGGGGUUUCCACCUAGCGCUCGGCCUGAGGCUUGUAACACUCCGUUUUCCCCCGAGUCACAGGGGCAGUCUUGCCCCUUGCAGCUGGGUCGCGGUGUCUCUCAAAGGUCCCCCUCUACAGGCUUCGUGAGGCCCGGGCCCACAGGGGGCUCGGUCCCGGAAGUGACGUCUCCCAGAGGGGCCGGAAGUGGCAGUGGAGGGAGGGAAGAUGGCGGAGGUGGGGGAGAUAAUCGAGGGCUGCCGCCUACCCGUGCUGCGGCGGAACCAGGACAACGAAGAUGAGUGGCCCCUGGCCGAGAUCCUGAGCGUGAAGGACAUCAGUGGCCGGAAGCUUUUCUACGUCCAUUACAUUGACUUCAACAAACGUCUGGAUGAAUGGGUGACGCACGAGCGGCUGGACCUAAAGAAGAUCCAGUUCCCCAAGAAAGAGGCCAAGACCCCCACCAAGAACGGACUUCCUGGGUCCCGUCCCGGCUCUCCAGAGAGAGAGGUGGUGAGUAGGUCCCCCACUUCACCUCUUCUCUCCUGCCUCCUAUUUCUCUUGUCUGUUGGCAUUAGGGGCUCCUGGAUGGGCAGGAGGCGGCUCCCUCUCACCCUGACUUCAUCUUGCAAAGGAUGGGGGCCAAAUUGCACAUAUAGCUCCCAGAGUCCAGUAGCUAGUCCUGUGUCCUUCAGAAGGCGAGGGUGGGGUUUGAUAAUUUUGAGGUGAGGGACCCCUCUUCCCCUUCCCCAUCCCACUGCCAUCCCCGCCCCA